This 255-nucleotide ribosomal RNA is filed under the name uncultured bacterium. RNAcentral's name for it is "partial 16S ribosomal RNA". It matches the Rfam family "Bacterial small subunit ribosomal RNA", at positions 524 to 776 of the family's 1533-position model. The record is from RNAcentral.
UACGUAGGGGGCAAGCGUUGUCCGGAGUUACUGGGCGUAAAGCGCACGCAGGCGGUCUCUUAAGUUUGGAGUGACAGUUGGUGGCUUAACUGCCAAAGUGCUUCGAAAACUGAGAGACUUGAGGGCUUCAGAGGGGACACGGAAUUCCGGGUGGAGUGGUGAAAUGCGCAGAUAUCAGGAGGAACACCGGUGGCGAAGGCGGGUCUCUGGGCAACAACUGACGCUGAGGAGCGAAAGCGUGGGGGAGCGAACAGG